GAACGAACGCUGGCGGCAUGCCUAAUACAUGCAAGUCGAACGAACUCUUCGGAGUUAGUGGCGCACGGGUGCGUAACGCGUGGGAAUCUGCCCCUUGGUUCGGAAUAACAGUUGGAAACGACUGCUAAUACCGGAUGAUGACGAAAGUCCAAAGAUUUAUCGCCAAGGGAUGAGCCCGCGUAGGAUUAGCUAGUUGGUGAGGUAAAGGCUCACCAAGGCAACGAUCCUUAGCUGGUCUGAGAGGAUGAUCAGCCACACUGGGACUGAGACACGGCCCAGACUCGUACGGGAGGCAGCAGUAGGGAAUAUUGGACAAGU
RNAcentral lists this ribosomal RNA (318 nucleotides) under uncultured soil bacterium. Its description in RNAcentral is "bacterial SSU rRNA". It matches the Rfam family "Bacterial small subunit ribosomal RNA", at positions 27 to 373 of the family's 1533-position model. The record is from RNAcentral.